This 253-nucleotide ribosomal RNA is filed under the name uncultured bacterium. RNAcentral's name for it is "partial 16S ribosomal RNA". It matches the Rfam family "Bacterial small subunit ribosomal RNA", at positions 524 to 776 of the family's 1533-position model. The record is from RNAcentral.
UACAGAGGUGGCAAGCGUUGUUCGGAAUUACUGGGCGUAAAGGGCGCGUAGGCGGCCUUCUAAGUCAGACGUGAAAUCCCCCGGCUUAACCUGGGAACUGCGUCUGAUACUGGGAGGCUAGAGUGCGGGAGAGGGAUGCGGAAUUCCAGGUGUAGCGGUGAAAUGCGUAGAUAUCUGGAGGAACACCGGUGGCGAAGGCGGCAUCCUGGACCGACACUGACGCUGAGGUGCGAAAGCGUGGGGAGCAAACAGG